RNAcentral lists this non-coding RNA (99 nucleotides) under Hominimerdicola alba. Its description in RNAcentral is "Ruminococcus albus THF-I sequence". It matches the Rfam family "THF (Tetrahydrofolate) riboswitch aptamer". Rfam says of the family: THF riboswitch presents a pseudoknot that joins P1-P2 and the loop of P3 and two THF binding. Lineage: Bacteria; Bacillati; Bacillota; Clostridia; Eubacteriales; Oscillospiraceae. The record is from RNAcentral.
UGAAGAGUAAAAAUACGUUCGUUAAGUGUUGGCUGAACGGGGAGUUGUCAGUCAGAUGAAAAGCAUGAGCUUGCGCUUCGUAUUUUGCAUCCCGCUUCA